UGGGGGAUAUUGCACAAUGGGCGAAAGCCUGAUGCAGCGACGCCGCGUGGGGGAUGAAGGCCUUCGGGUUGUAAACUUCUUUUGCUCUGAACAAGGCAUGCUAAUGGGUGUGUUGAGUGUAGGGGUUGAUUAGCGCCGGCUAACUACGUGCCAGCAGCCGCGGUAAUACGUAGGGCGCGAGCGUUGUCCGGAAUUAUUGGGCGUAAAGGGCUUGUAGGUGGCUGGUUGCGUCUGUCGUGAAAGCUCAUGGCUUAACUGUAGGUGUGCGGUGGGUACGGGCUGGCGUGCGUGCAGUAGGGGAGGCUGGAAUUCCUGGUGUAGCGGUGGAAUGCGCAGAUAUCAGGAGGAAUACCGGUGGCGAAGGCGGGUCUCUGGGCUGUUACUGACACUGAGGAGCGAAAGCAUGGGGAGCGAACAGG
RNAcentral lists this ribosomal RNA (419 nucleotides) under bacterium. Its description in RNAcentral is "partial 16S ribosomal RNA". It matches the Rfam family "Bacterial small subunit ribosomal RNA", at positions 355 to 776 of the family's 1533-position model. The record is from RNAcentral.